UACGGAGGGCGCGAGCGUUGUUCGGAAUUACUGGGCGUAAAGCGCGUGUAGGUGGCCUGGCAAGUCGGGUGUGAAAUCCCGGAGCUCAACUCCGGAACUGCAUCCGAUACUGCCAGGCUCGAGUCUCGGAGAGGAUGGCGGAAUUUCCGGUGUAGAGGUGAAAUUCGUAGAUAUCGGAAGGAACACCAGUGGCGAAGGCGGCCGUCUGGACGAUGACUGACACUGAGACGCGAAAGCGUGGGGAGCAAACAGG
This 253-nucleotide ribosomal RNA is filed under the name uncultured bacterium. RNAcentral describes it as "partial 16S ribosomal RNA". It matches the Rfam family "Bacterial small subunit ribosomal RNA", at positions 524 to 776 of the family's 1533-position model. The record is from RNAcentral. RNAcentral also lists the same sequence under 1 other name.